Non-coding RNA from Procambarus clarkii (red swamp crayfish), 882 nucleotides. The record is from RefSeq and is a predicted model, not a curated record. NCBI's taxonomy places the organism in Eukaryota, Metazoa, Arthropoda, Malacostraca, Decapoda, Cambaridae.
UGUUGGGAGGCUGGCAUCUCGCGCGUCAUCUUGCAGUGUGUCAGUCACGGGAUCUUGUGCCGCCCGUGCUGCUUGGCCAGCAGCAGCAGCCGGCCCCAUUGUGCUGCUAUGAGUGCCCCCACACCCAGGAGGAGUAGCGGCAGCAGCAGCAGCAGCAGAGGGUGGAGAGGAACCCCCUCUUGGUAGCAUGAGGGGACCCCCACCACCGCCACCACACACCUAUCCUGGAGCCAACACGCGCACGUGGUAAGCGGGCGUGGGCGGGAUAUGAGCGUCCGUGGGCGUCCCUCCGGUCUCUCGUCGCUCUGCUCCCAGAGUUCAGUGAGCGGCAUGGGCUGUGGUGUGGGCGGCCCCGCGGGCGCCCACCUGCUGGGGUCCACCUGCAGCUCCAGCAGCGCAUCGCGGGCGGGGUCAGCGGGGUCCCUGGUGGGUGUGGGCGUGCCUUCCCUAGAGGGCGAGGUGGGGUGUCCUGACUGUGCCGCCCUCUACCCCAUCACUGACGACGCUCUCCUCCACAACCUUCACUCCAGAUACAAGAGAGACCAGAUCUACACAUACGUGGGGACGGGUCUGGUGUCCGUCAACCCCUACAGAAGACUGGCGCUCUACACCCCUGAGGUUAUCCACGCCUACCACACCACCUGUGUAUUCCACCUGCCUCCACACAUGUGAGUAUUGCCUCCUCCAGCCCCCCACACAUGUGAAUAUUGCCCCUCCUGCCCUCACACACGUGCCAUCUGCUGACACACAUGGAGGACCUGAACAAUGUGAGGUCUUGAGGCCUCACUUUAUGACAACCAUUCAGCUUUGAGGGCCACUGGACUGAGCAGUCUUGAAUGGCGGCUCUUCCCUGUCUCUCUUCCCGUGUUUAUCUGUCGUAAU